Molecule: unclassified non-coding RNA, 352 nt
Filed under: soil metagenome
Description: partial contains 5.8S ribosomal RNA, internal transcribed spacer 2, and large subunit ribosomal RNA
Rfam family: 5.8S ribosomal RNA (bases 1-120)
Source: RNAcentral
GAUGAAGAACGCAGCGAAAUGCGAUAAGUAAUGUGAAUUGCAGAAUUCAGUGAAUCAUCGAAUCUUUGAACGCACAUUGCGCCCGCCAGUAUUCUGGCGGGCAUGCCUGUUCGAGCGUCAUUACAACCCUCAGGCCCCCGGGCCUGGCGUUGGGGAUCGGCGGAGCCCCCCGUGGGCACACGCCGUCCCCCAAAUGCAGUGGCGGUCCCGCCGCAGCUUCCAUCGCGUAGUAGCUAACACCUCGCGACUGGAGAGCGGCGCGGCCACGCCGUAAAACACCCAACUCUUCUGAAGUUGACCUCGAAUCAGGUAGGAAUACCCGCUGAACUAAAGCAUAUCAAUAAGCGGAGGA